ACAGGGCCAGGCAAUGGGGACAAAGUUCUACCCCAUUGUGUGCUUCAGAGAGCAGGCUCAUCAUUGAGAGGCCAGUCUGUGAUGUCUGAUGGACUGCAUCCAGUCUAGAGCUAGAUGUGUCCUAAGACAGUUUCUGUGACUCUCUCAUCUGUGACACAGGAUAAUGCUGUGCUUCCAGCCCUGUCACCUGAGUCACUGGAGCUUGGGUAGGAUGAGGGGAGGCAGCCCCUUGUAGGAGCUUUGGUCUUGCUCUGCUGUUGUUGUCUGUGACUGCUCUGCUUUACCUGACAAUUUACAGCCAUGGUAAGAACUCAGGGACUCUUGGCUGCCUGUACUGGAGGCCCUUCAGCAUUCCUGGCAACUGGCAGCUUUAUUCACAUGCAUAUCUCUGCCUGGGAGGCUCCUAUCCCCUUCCACAAGUAAAUGCCUGCAAGCCUGCAGCAGUUGCCUAUGAGUGGCACACAAGCAGUCCUUCAGCUUUCCCUCCUCUUCACUGACCCACCGACUGAAGAUGCCAGUCCAGAGUACAGCUGAUGUCAGUUGCCGAAUGUAUUGGUUCUCAGCCCUCAGCCGGAGGACCAGGACCCAUCUAUCACGUGACUUGAAAGCUGGGCACAUGGCAGGGCUUCAUGCAGGAUGCAUAGCUAUUAUAUCACCACCAUCUAUGGCUCUCCAGUGCCAGCUAUGCAGAGGAGUCAUGGCUCUGGGGUUUUCUGACAGUUUCUAGACUCUAAACCUGCUUGGACAAGGAGCAUCGUGUAGCCCAUUGAGCUUCAAGCUCCUGGACUAUAAAGCAGGGGUGUUGCAGCUUCUCAGGAUCAGGGUUGGGUGGAAAUCCAGCAGCAGUGGAGAACCGAGCGAAUGCAUCACUAGAAGUUGGCUUGUGCUGAAGAGAGACUGGGAGGUCACAGGUCCCAACUGUCUCUUCAUAGUUGGAUCAUUCUCUACAGUGUGACCAAGCAGACAUGAAGAGACCACCUGUCCCAUCUGCAGAGCCCUCGCAUGCUCCCAGAUGAAUCCGGAGAAAGCACAGGCAGAGGGCAGCAGGUAGCCACACUGCCUAAGUGAGGCCUCCCUGUACCCAAAGCCUGGGGGUUGUGACUUGAACAAAAGCUGAGCUUUCUCCUGGCGGAGUAACUAGAAUUCUGUAAGCAGAAGGAAGGAUGAGGAGAGGAUGCUGUCCUCCCACGGGCGAGCUUCAAGAGCCCCCGCCGAUGGGGAGUGAUAAGGAGCUUAGCUCAGACACUGCUGUUUGAUCAAGUUGCCAUCUGUGGGAUUUGCCGACCAUGAGUGGGGCUGGGGAUAUCUCCCUGCUACAGCCUGGCUAGGGCUGUGCAGACACAUUUUAUCUGAUCCUGGGGGAAAUCACUUUCUAAGUAAGCCAGCCAUGAUGGCUUCAAAAGACGGCCACUUCCCCACAGUGGGAAGGUCAGUGUGCUCCCUACCCCCCUGAAAUAGGUGAUUGUGAGCGGCAGGCUGCAUGUUAAACACCUCUUUCCAGGUCUUGGGGAGUGCCCCCAGAACUGCAUGGAGAGUUGGAUACUGCAUGCAAAGGCAAGCUCUUCCUGGAGAUGAGAAGUACCUCAGACAGAGCCUGAAUGGUUCCCUUGCCUUAAUGCUCAAUACCUUGAUGCCCUGAAAAUGUCAGCUGCUUUGUCAUGGUGGCAACAACAUUCCAUCUUCUGUGCUGGAUGCCAUUGUAUCAGAGACUCAUAUCUGGGACUUACUCUUCACUCAACAAAUAUUGAGUCUCCAGCAUUAGCUGUCCCUGGAGGGAUGAGAUUCACCAGGACCUUGCUGGCAUAACACACCUCUUAAGACUUCCAAUAGUCACCUCAGCUGUAGACUUUGAUGGAAGAUAAUGGGGUCAACAGAGCUGAGGGCUAGGUUCCUCAAUAUGGGAUCCAAAAUGACAGCCAUGAGGAAGGAAGCCCCUCAGCCCUUGGUCUAUGCAGUGAGGGGUGUCUGGUUUUCCUCUCUGGGUGCCUCCCCCUCAACAGCUCUACCUGCUGCCAGCUGCUGCCUGCUGAUCCAAGAAGUCUUCAAAUGGUAGCUAGGUAGCUUCCUGUGCCACUGGCUGGCUACCAUAUUCAGUUUAAGUGAUUAAUGUUUCUCAUCAGGUAGACAGGUGGAUGGACAGAUAAACAUUAACCUGUCUUAAGUUAUCAUGCUUAUGUGGCUUCUCUUGAGAUGUAAACAAAUGUCCAUUCUUCCCAGGUAGGAUGCUAAUGACAGAUCAAAGAAACAGUUCAGCCAUUUCUAGCUUGGUGAACAAUGGGUUUACUGGGGCUGUUUAUAGGAGUAUGGGUGAGGGACUACUUACAGGAGCAUGGGCAACUUAAGGAUGUCCUGGGUACCAACUCAUGAGUGCUGCAUCCCUGGCUCCCCUGAGUAACUUGUAGGUGUCUUGGAAGAUUGCAGAAUCCUGCUCCUACUUAUUUCUGCUCAAAUAACCUUGGGUGAAGAGCCUUCUAUUUUUUUUUUUUUAUCUUCCUGGGUGGUAAGAGCCUCUCUCCAGGAGGGAGUGAUUCAAUUUUGAGGAAGUGGCCUCACAACCUGCCUUGUGCCAGGUGCAACCUGCAUCACUGCCCCCAUUGGGAAUUAGUGAGAACAAGCCAGACUCUCCAAUCCCUCUGCUCAAGCGACCUUGACAAUGACCCAAACUCUGUGUGCUCACCAUGAUGGUUUCUGGUCCGCCUCCAGGUUUGUGCACAGAGGGAUCAUGGGGAAUUGUGACUGUCCUCAUAAUCUUACGUCAUCAAGCUGACAUGGUCCACCCACAUGAUAGGGAGUUGCAAUGUACCCUGAUGCUGUUAGGGGCAGUCUCCUUCUUCAGAGCUGGAAUCUUUCCACCACCCUAACGGCCAACUGGAACAGCUGUGCCUACCCAAGCUACAGUCAGUUUCCAGAGUAUCAAUAUGGCAGCCAGUCAGACAUCUGCUCCAACGUGGCACAUGGCUUUGGGUGAUAGCAUUUUGUUCUCCAGAGGAGACUGAGGCCAUGUUUCUGUCUUUGUUGCUAUAUGUCAGUGUUGGAGCAGGGUCUCAUGUCUUGCAUCAGGCCUAGAGGCAGUCCAUCUGUCAGCUGUGCACUCUUCCCAGCAUGCAUUGAGGCCGAGUGUAGUGAGUGGCAUCCUGAUAACAGCCAUAGCCCUUGUAAUCUUGUGCCCUUGGGUUUCUGAACAGGAUGCGGGCUCCUAAUGUUUGCUUUCUCUCAUAGGCUUGCCUUGGGUAUAGGAUACAGGCAGUUUUCACUCCGGUGAGAACUAAACAUCUAAAUUACAUGUAAAUAAAGUGAGGAGGGACCCUGUGACACCACAGGUAUGUAUGGUGUCUGAUUAUGGCCAGGGAAACAGCUAGUUGCUGAAUGGGAAGUGGACAAGCGAAUGAGCCAUACUAAGGAUUUGGACUAAUUCAAUAUGGCAGUGGGGGAGGGGAAGACUGUGUCUUAGAUGUCUGUGGUGGUAGAGCAGUUCAGUCAUGCCGUUCAAUAACUGCAUCUAGCAUCAAUUGCUUUCUUGAGAUGUGCCAAAUACCAUUCCAUGCUUUUCACAUGAACUGAGCCAUCCAAUCUUACAAGGACUGUAACAGGUUUAUCAUUUACCAUUUCACACAUUAGAAAUGACACUGGCGAGACCAGGGUCACGUGGACAGAGUUGAGAUCAACUCACACAUCUCAUCCAAGUCAGCUGGAAGCCAGACUCUGGGCAGAGCAGCUUCAGAGCUGUACGUGGCCUCUAUUCCUAGAGCAAGAGAGUGGGAAUUGACAGACAGGAAACCUCUGUGAGGUAGCCCUGGUGAUGGAGGGCUUGGGUGAAAGGGACAAGUAGUGGGAAGAUAAUGGUGAAUGGAUAUCCAGAGAAAGGUGGAGGAGACCUGGUGGCUUGAGAGGAAGGAUAUUCAAGGGGCAUGGAGAGAAGCAGGAAUGCUUAGAGGAAAGACUAGGGUGGGCACAGGUGUCUGUAGCUAGAGUUUCCCUGCCUGGCCCACAGUCAGAACAAAUCUCUCUCACCUGCCAGUCCCACAGCCACUCAGACCCGACCAAGUAAACACAGAGACUUAUAUUGGUUACAAACUGUAUGGCCGUGGCAGGCUUCUUGCUAACUGUUCUUACAGCUUAAAUUAAUCCAUUUCCAUUAAUCUAUACCUUGCCACAUGGCUCGUGGCUUACCGGCAUCUUUACAUGCUGUUUCUCAUCAUGGUGGCUGGCAGUGUCUCUCUGACUCAGCCUUCCACUUCCCAGCUUUAUUCUCCUCCUUGUCCCGCCUACACUUCCUGCCUAGCCAAUGGCCAAUCAGUGUUUUAUUUAUUAACUAAUUAGCAACACAUUUGCCAUACAGAACAUUCCACAGCACUUCCCCCUUUUUUUUUCAAAAAGGAAGGUUUUAACCUUAACAAAGUAAAAUUACAUAUAAUUUGGGAAUUUGGGCGUAGCUUCUCUUACUACUUCCUGCUGGAGGGGGACGCUGUAUCUUAUGGGGAAACAAAGAAAAUUUUAGGAUUAUGGAAUAGUCCAUGAGGCUGUAUCGUCUGAACUAGUUGCCUUGAAACCAUUCUGGAUGUUGGAUCAUCUGGGCCAUGGUGUCAUAGGAGACCUUUCAGGGGGUCUUGGCUGGUCAAACCUGAUGUAUCUUAAUCUGGAACAAAUCCAUAGCCUUUGGCUUUCUGUGGGAACAAAAGCAGAGUCUCCUUUCCAAAGUAACAUAUCCUUAUAUCCAAAUUUUGAAGUCAAGGUACCUUUAAAAUAUACAUAUUGGCAUAACUCAACAGCUUUUACAAUCAAAUAUUUUUCUGCAGUUAAAAGUCCCAAAGACAACACAAUGCAGAUUCUCUGUGUAAUAUCCA
This is a long non-coding RNA of Peromyscus californicus insignis, 4844 nucleotides long. RefSeq lists it as uncharacterized. The record is from RefSeq and is a predicted model, not a curated record. Lineage: Eukaryota; Metazoa; Chordata; Mammalia; Rodentia; Cricetidae. The transcript is spliced from 3 exons.